RNAcentral lists this ribosomal RNA (305 nucleotides) under uncultured bacterium. RNAcentral's name for it is "partial 16S ribosomal RNA". It matches the Rfam family "Bacterial small subunit ribosomal RNA", at positions 333 to 658 of the family's 1533-position model. The record is from RNAcentral.
UAACCUACGGGGGGCAGCAGUGGGGGAUAUUGGACAAUGGGGGAAACCCUGAUCCAGCGAUGCCGCGUGAGGGAAGAAGGUUUUCGGAUUGUAAACCUCUGUGGAGGGGGACGAUAAUGACGGUACCCCUUUAGGAAGCCACGGCUAACUACGUGCCAGCAGCCGCGGUAAUACGGAGGAUGCGAGCGUUAUCCGGAUUUAUUGGGUUUAAAGGGUGCGUAGGCGGUUUUUUAAGUUAGUGGUUAAACGUCGGGGCUUCACCUUGAUUUGCCAUUAAUACUGUAAGACUCGAGUUCAGACGAGGG